This 252-nucleotide ribosomal RNA is filed under the name uncultured bacterium. Its description in RNAcentral is "partial 16S ribosomal RNA". It matches the Rfam family "Bacterial small subunit ribosomal RNA", at positions 524 to 776 of the family's 1533-position model. The record is from RNAcentral.
UACGAAGGGGGCUAGCGUUGCUCGGAAUCACUGGGCGUAAAGGUGCGUAGGCGGGUCUUUAAGUCAGGGGUGAAAUCCUGGAGCUCAACUCCAGAACUGCCUUUGAUACUGAGGAUCUUGAGUUCGGGAGAGGUGAGUGGAACUGCGAGUGUAGAGGUGAAAUUCGUAGAUAUUCGCAAGAACACCAGUGGCGAAGGCGACAUACUGGUCCGUUACUGACGCUGAGGCUCGAAAGCGUGGGGAGCAAACAGG